Molecule: ribosomal RNA, 250 nt
Filed under: uncultured prokaryote
Description: partial 16S ribosomal RNA
Rfam family: Bacterial small subunit ribosomal RNA
Source: RNAcentral
UACGGAGGAUGCGAGCGUUAUCCGGAUUUAUUGGGUUUAAAGGGUGCGCAGGCGGCGCCACCAGUCAGCGGUCAAAUCGGCGGGCUCAACCCGUCGCCGCCGUUGAUACUAUGGUGCUGGAGUGCGCGCGAGGGCGGCGGAAUGCGUGGUGUAGCGGUGAAAUGCAUAGAUAUCACGCAGAACUCCGAUUGCGAAGGCAGCUGUCCGGCGCGCCACUGACGCUGAGGCACGAAAGCGUGGGUAUCGAACA